This is a long non-coding RNA of Rosa chinensis, 285 nucleotides long. RefSeq lists it as uncharacterized. The transcript has 4 exons. Lineage: Eukaryota; Viridiplantae; Streptophyta; Magnoliopsida; Rosales; Rosaceae. The record is from RefSeq and is a predicted model, not a curated record.
AUUUUUGCAGAAUUGGUUAGAGAGGUAGUGCUAGUUUGGUUCCUCUUUGACUCGCUUUCAGAACAUGACAGGCUUCCUUCUUUAACAAUGACCUCCUAAUUUUGGAUGCCUUCGUGAUUCAUAAGGUAUCAGGUUUAGUCUUGUGUCGUAUAACAUUUUGGCUCAGGCGUAUGUGAAGAGCUCCUUGUUUCCCCACUCUCCAUCUUCUUGUCUCAAGUGGAAAGCCCGCUCGCAGGCAAUUUUGAGUGUUCUCAAGAACCUUGGAGUCGAUUCUCUGCCUACAGG